Molecule: small RNA, 125 nt
Filed under: Marmota monax (woodchuck)
Lineage: Eukaryota; Metazoa; Chordata; Mammalia; Rodentia; Sciuridae
Source: RNAcentral
GCCAGGCAUGGUGGCACAUGCCUGUAAUCCCAGCUGCUUGGGAGGCUGAGUCAGGAGGAUCAUGAGUUCAAAGCCAGCUUCAGCAAAAGCAAGGUGCUGAGUAAGUCAGUGAGACCCUGUCUCUA